Mustela lutreola (European mink) is the source of this 141-nucleotide small nuclear RNA. RefSeq annotates it as U4 spliceosomal RNA. Lineage: Eukaryota; Metazoa; Chordata; Mammalia; Carnivora; Mustelidae. The record is from RefSeq and is a predicted model, not a curated record. The transcript has a single exon.
AGCUUUGUACAGUGGCACUAUCAUAGCCAAUGAGGUUUAUCCGAGGCGUAAUUAUUGCUAAUUGAAAACUUUUCCCAAUACCCCGCCAUGACGACUUGAAAUACAGUCAGCAUAGGCAAUUUUUUUUUUAAGAUUUUAUUU